RNAcentral lists this ribosomal RNA (252 nucleotides) under uncultured bacterium. RNAcentral's name for it is "partial 16S ribosomal RNA". It matches the Rfam family "Bacterial small subunit ribosomal RNA", at positions 525 to 776 of the family's 1533-position model. The record is from RNAcentral.
ACGAAGGGGGCAAGCGUUACUCGGAAUUAUUGGGCGUAAAGCGUGCGCAGGCGGUUUCAUACGUUGAAAGUGAAAGCCUUUGGCUCAACCAAAGAAUUGCUUACAAAACGGUGGAACUAGAGUAUUAGAGAGGAUAGAGGAAUUCCUGAUGUAGGGGUGAAAUCCGUAGAUAUCAGGAAGAAUAUCGAAGGCGAAGGCAUCUAUCUGGCUAAAUACUGACGCUGUUGCACGAAAGCGUGGGGAGCAAACAGG